UACAGAGGGUGCGAGCGUUAAUCGGAUUUACUGGGCGUAAAGCGUGAGUAGGUGGCUCGCUAAGUCGAUUGUGAAAGCCCUGGGCUCAACCUGGGAAUUGCAGUCGAUACUGGUGAGCUAGAGUUCGGUAGAGGGUGACGGAAUUCCCGGUGUAGCGGUGAAAUGCGUAGAUAUCGGGAGGAACAUCGGUGGCGAAGGCGGCAUCCUGGACCGGCAUUGACGCUGAGGCGCGAAAGCCAGGGGAGCAAACGGG
RNAcentral lists this ribosomal RNA (253 nucleotides) under uncultured bacterium. RNAcentral describes it as "partial 16S ribosomal RNA". It matches the Rfam family "Bacterial small subunit ribosomal RNA", at positions 524 to 776 of the family's 1533-position model. The record is from RNAcentral.